This 206-nucleotide ribosomal RNA is filed under the name uncultured bacterium. Its description in RNAcentral is "partial 16S ribosomal RNA". It matches the Rfam family "Bacterial small subunit ribosomal RNA", at positions 568 to 774 of the family's 1533-position model. The record is from RNAcentral.
UGCGUAGGUGGCAGAUCAAGUCUGGAGUAAAAGGUAUGGGCUCAACCCGUACUUGCUCUGGAAACUGAUCAGCUAGAGAACAGAAGAGGACGGCGGAACUCCAUGUGUAGCGGUAAAAUGCGUAGAUAUAUGGAAGAACACCGGUGGCGAAGGCGGCCGUCUGGUCUGGAUUCUGACACUGAAGCACGAAAGCGUGGGAGCAAACA